This 120-nucleotide ribosomal RNA is filed under the name Pseudomonas aeruginosa. The record is from RNAcentral. RNAcentral also lists the same sequence under 3 other names. Lineage: Bacteria; Pseudomonadati; Pseudomonadota; Gammaproteobacteria; Pseudomonadales; Pseudomonadaceae.
UGCUUGACGAUCAUAGAGCGUUGGAACCACCUGAUCCCUUCCCGAACUCAGUAGUGAAACGACGCAUCGCCGAUGGUAGUGUGGGGUCUCCCCAUGUGAGAGUAGGUCAUCGUCAAGCUC